This is a long non-coding RNA of Parus major (Great Tit), 10100 nucleotides long. RefSeq lists it as uncharacterized. The record is from RefSeq and is a predicted model, not a curated record. Lineage: Eukaryota; Metazoa; Chordata; Aves; Passeriformes; Paridae. The transcript has 2 exons.
UUUCAGGUGUUAUGGAAGUUGUUAGCUUCCAGUUCCUGAUGAAUACCUGUGAAUACUUAAAAAAUGUACAUCAUAUGGCCCGACUGGUAUGCUAGUGAUGCCAGGUAAGUCCAAGAUACCUCUAAAUCAUUGUCACCAGUGUCAUCUUACUUAUCAAAUGGUCUCUGUUGUCCUUCCUCACUAUCUUCACCCUGACAGCUCUUCUUCUAGUCUUUAUGGUGCGCACCAGCAUCUGGCUUUGAUGCUGCACAUCUCUCAGGUUCUCCCUACACAUUGAUGCCAUUUGUGAGAUUCUUAUUCCCACACUUCCCAAAGACCUGCUUUCUAUGCUGUGCAUAAAGGGCACUCAUUUCUGUGUUAAACAUUCUCAGCAAGAAAAGCCAGUCAUGCUUUCUCUUGUUCCAUUCUUCUUCCUCAUGUCAGUUGUCUGAGUUUUUCACAUUACCUUUGUCCUCCCUCUGUAUGUCAAGUUGAAUUCUGCAGAUUGGAUGUGUUGCUGAAAAAGUAUCAACUCUUUUCCUUGCUACUGUAGCAUGUCUGGUGUGUUCUGGUGUCUUAGUUUUGGUAUAGGUAGUGAUUAAUAGUUGCAAUAAUUCAUGAACUGCUACUGGUCUGUCAGCUGUCUUAGUGGUUUCUAUUUAAGUCUUACAAAUCACUGCCCAGGCAAUAAGCAUGUCAUCCUGCAAACAAAGUGAAGGUGAGCAAGGAGCUGUGACUUUUUUCCUCUAAACUAUUUUUUUAGUGUUACCUCAUCUUUCUAUGCCACCCCCUUCAUGUUUUCACAUACCCAUUGCCUUCGUGGUCUGACUCUGAGCUCAGUGUGCCAGGGACUCUUUAUGCUCGUAUUUAUUGCUGCACACUAUUAGCACAGUGUUCUGUAGGUUGUGUCCUUGCAGCGUUCCUGAUUGUGAUGUUAAUGGACUGCUAUUCAGGAUAAAAUAAUGGCAAAUGUGGCAUGAGAUGAAGAGGCAUGGAAGCAUUAUGCUGAUCUUUGUUCCCUGGGUCUGGCCCCUGGUGUAAUCAACAGAAAGGAGUGGGUGGGAUACAGGUGGGACAGGGGUCUUCAGUUGCCCAAUUCUCGGCUGAACUCUGUUUCAUUUCUGUUGGAAGGAUUUCAUUCCUCAGGACAAGCUGUCUAUUUGGCCCCUUUUACAAACACUCAGAUCAGUUUCAGCACAUGAAAAAAAGCAAAGGUCUGGUUGCAUGGAUCUGGGGUAGAGGCAGCAGUGCAUAGCUCCAGCAGAAAGCUAACCUUUCCUUCCACUGUUUUCCUGCUUUCCCCCCUCCUCCUACUGAGCCCUGCAGAGAGAUUAGUGAUCAGACUGUAAAUUCCCCAAGUACAGAAAGUAGUAAACCUCCCAUCCCCUCCCCAAGAGGACUUGUAUGCUGACAACAGCUUCAUUCAAUCUGACACCUGUUUCACUCUGAGACAGGCCCCUAUAAAUAGAGUAAAUGUAACCCUAGGUGGCAUUGCAAAAUAUUAUGGAAAACAUAGCUUACAACCCUGAGAAAAAGGGGGAGUAGAGAGAGUGGGGGUGGGCAAAAAGACACUAUCUACCAUAAAAACCUGGCAGCUUCAUGCAAGUGCUGUUGCUUUUAAUUUAAAUGCUCAUUUCUUAUUCUAUUUUCAGAUCCUCUCUGGGAUUUUAGGAAUGUUGAGACGUGCUGGUUAUAAAGCCCUAAGUACAAAAUGGUCACGGAUGGCUGGAAUGAGGCAUGUUCUAAUGGAAACAAAUCACUUGUCAGUAAGCAGCCUUCAAACUUUUGAACAAAAGCUCAAAAGGGUCAGGGAAAAGACAUGUUUGUUGAUUUAAAAUGGCUGGAUGCAGGUCAUCAGGAAGGCAUAGGCUUCAAUAUUGUUGAGGUAACUCUUUGGUUCUGUGAGUUAUAAACAAGGUUAAAUACUUUGAUGGCAACCACAAAUGGAAUGAGGAACUUAAAUUAAGCAGAAAGCUCACACGUUAUAAAGUGAAGUGUGCAUAAUACCAAAAUGUAAAGCACGUACACCACUGCAAAACAGCCGCAGAAUGGAGCUGAGCUGUGGGAGCCACAUUUAGGUAGUUCUACAUGACUGUGAGGAAGCCUGUGCUGUAUCUACUGAAAUUUAGAAGGGUGACCAGUAUUCCUAUAGAUGUCUGUGAUUCAUUGAUAUUUUAGUUAGUUAAAAUAGUGUAACUUAGCUUUAUAGUGAUUUGAUGAUACAUCCAAAUCCUGAUUCUGUUUAUUCACCUUUCUAUAGAUUUUAACUCUAAGUGAAAUUAUUCAGUACAGUAGUUAAUUUUUUAUAUCUGCUUGCAAAACCCAUAGUGAGGUUCGUGACCCCUAGAACAACUAUAAUGAGGGAUCAGCUCUUCUUUUUCCUGUGUAAUAUUUUGUGUUGCUCUGUGAAAUGAAAAAUGUUGGUGUAUAAUAAAUUGUAUAAGGUGGAUGAAUUACAGUCCCUGUGGAACAUCAUGUUGAAUCUCCUAAUUCUACUGUAGCUUGGUUUCAUAAGAAAAUGAUGCUUAUGCAAUCUUCCUUUAUGAUUAGUCUGUCUGUCUGCUAUUUGCCCUCACAAGCAGCUUCUGAACUUAUUCAGUCUUCGGCUGGAUUUGAAGAGUUGGAAUAAUUAUAUUUUGACUAGGUUUGUGGAAACUGCUUUCUGUCUAGAAAAAAAGAGAGAGUUCGUACCUCUGUAGAGGGGAAGGCAGGUACAGAAAUUGCCAGCAGUAAACAUGGGGCUCCUUGGAACAGUACACACAGUUUUGUGCAUAAAGGAGCACAGUGGGGACUGAUGAGUCAGGUUUGGGCACAGGUGACUGGGCAAAGAAAUCUGAAGGGACAAAGGUUUGACCUCCAUUAGUAACCAGGUUUCAUUUCAGUGUUCAUGGAAUAAUUUCAUUUUGGUAUGGAAAACAGCAGGAGGAGAAAAUGGAAUGACUGUUGUAAAAUGGUAUCUGUGAGCUUCAAAGUGCAGGGCAGUCUUUUGGUGUUUCUGAGGUUUACUCUGCUAAGUAAACAUUCUGCUUUCAAAGGGAAGAAACUGAGGCACUUUCUUCACAGAGUUUUGACUUGCACAAAGGCACCAAAUGACUCAGCAGAAACCAGUUACAGCUUACAGAUGUUUAGGUGGCCUAGAAUCGUUUAAUCAUUUCGGUUGGAAAAGAUCAUCAAGCCCAAACUUAAUGCUAAUAGUGCUAAGCCCACCAGUAGAUCAUACCCCUAAGCACCACAUCUACACAUCUUUUAAAUACCUUCAGGGAUGGUGGUGAUUUUACUACUUCCUGGAAAGCCAGUUCCAACUUCAGCCCUUCUGCUGAAGACAUUUUUUCCCAUAUCCAAUUCCUCCCCAAACUGAGGGGCAACUUGAAGCUAUUUCCUCUCAUUCUGCCACUUAUAAUCUGUGAAGGAGGCCAAGCCCCACCUUGCCACAAUCUCCUUUUUGGCAGAUGUAGACAGCAUAAAGUCUCCCCUGGGUCUCAUUUUCUCCAGGCUAAACAACUGAGCUCUCUUAGCCUCUCUUCAAAGAACUUGUGUACUAGACCCUUCUUUAACUCGAUUGCCCUUCUGGACAAUCUUCAGCAUCUCAGUGUCCUUCUUGUAGUGAGUGGUCCAAAACUGAGCACAGGAUUCCAGGUGUGGCCUCAUCAGUGCUGAGGAUAAGAGGACAAUCACUGCCCUGGUUCUGGCCAAUAUGGCCAGCAACUUACACAGAUCUUCACUGACCAUAUGUCAUAGCCAUGCCAAAUAUUCUCCUUCCUCAAGGGAACCUCAUCACUGCUCCCCAUUCUUACUCUUUAUUGUUGCUCUUUGGGUCUUUUAAAUUGUCAUCUGUUAUUAUUGCAAGAGAAGAGCCUUGCCUGUUCAAGCCCAGCAAUCUCUUGCCAUCCACAAAGGUUGUAGUAUGUGUUGCCAUGACAAGGAAAGUAUCUUCCAAAUGGCACUUGUUUUGUUUGCCAAAUGCCACUAAUAGUUGUUUUGUUUCUGCCAGAAAUGAGGCCAUGCUGCUGAAGAAGGAUUGCAAAGUAGUCUGCAGAGAGCUCCAGGUGGUAUGGACCAAAGCAGCCUGAUACCUGAGUUGGUUUUGUUUGAAGUUAACUUGGAGUUGUCCAUAGUAUCCUGAUCUCCUCACCUGCCAUAAAUAUGGCAGCUAGAUAUUUUUCAUCCUGCUCUUCUUUCCUGACUUAUCCAUCAUGCAAAGGACACUCUGAGACCAUGGGGAGGAGUAAUUGUGGGAGACACUUCUCUUCAGAUGCUACACUGCCUGGAUGAAAGCUUAUCAGCAGCUUGGGUUUCUCAGCAUUGAUGCAGGACAGCUAGUUCAGAGGAUGCUGCUGAAAGUUUUACACUAUCUUUACCGUGGGAGAGAUAGGAGAACUACUUUGCCCACUCUGGUUCCAGUUCAGGUAUAAAGCUGUGUAUUGUAGCCUUGAAGUCUGUGUAACAAAGAUGUCUGAGCAGUGUCCACUCAGGAUCAUGUAUGGAUUUAACUUACUCUGCUGCCUUUCCUUUUGAAGUCCAGGUUGCAGAGUGAUUUGAUAGAUAAACCGGGCUGUGCUGUCAGUUUCACCCUGGAGAGUGUGAUUUUUUUAAAAUCUGAUUUACAUGACAGGCAUACUUAAAAGACCGGUCCUGAGUCUCUGGUGGCAGGUGACAAAACCAAGGUAUUAAUAAAGAGAAGAGCUGAUAAUGCAACCUGUGUGAUCAAUCCUUUGCUGUGGUCUGUGUCCUCAGAGCGAUGAGCAGCAGCCAGGCUGAAACAUGUAACAGGAAGACUGUGUGGUCUGCCACAGCUGGCUGCUGGCUACUAUUCCCAUCUUGUUAUAGAAUUCAUUCUGGUUAAUAAUAAAUUCAGUUAAAAACUAUUUAAGUAAAACAGCCUGACGUGGCUUGUCGGAUACAGUAUUGUGUCGGGAAGCCAAAAGUUGCAUUUGCUCCCAGUUUUCUGUUGUGUUUUGUAACAGUAGGCGAAUUGCCCAUGCCUCCACUCAAAACAAAUCCAUUGUCAGUCCUGCUUGCUAGGCAGACAAAUUGCUUUGGGAAGAGGCUGUAUUUCAGGGUGUGCCUCUACAAUGUCUGGAUAGGCCAUGGCCAAGACAGGAAUGCCUAUCACGUAUGAGCAUCUGUAGCACGUGUCACUAUUACAGUGCAAAAUGAACCAAUGUGCCCUUGGAUGAUGACUCCCCUGCUCUCUGUAACCUGCAGCAGGUUUGGGAGAUGGUUCAGUAAAACCAGUUUUCAUAGAAGAAAUUGGGUCUUCAGGAAGAGAGAGUGAAAUGAGAAGGACAAGAAGAUUGAUGCUGUUGCCUGAGUUAAGAGGAUGAAAUGAGAUGUGGGACAGAGCCUGGUUUGAGAGGAAAGGCACAAUGUUUGCAACUGACUUAACAUAUGGCAGCAAAUCUGUGAAGUGGCUCAAAUAAAGGUCCCAAAUGUUUUGUCUGUCCUACAUACCCAUGGCAAGUUCAAGCACAGUUAUCUGGGCUGAGCUUCCAGGGCUUAGGGAUCAUCAUGUGGGGGGGCUUUUCACUCUCCCCAGUUUGUGACUGACCAUGAACACAGAGGUGAUUUCCUCUCUUCCUGGAAUUGAACCAGGCCUUGAUCCCAAGCCUCAUGGGAGAGAAUUGGAAAGCAGGUAAUGAAUCUGUUUGUCCUCUUGUUUACUGAGUUGUAAAUGUAAUGAAAUUCAGCUGCAAUUGGAGAUGGAAUAUUCCAAAAUUUGUGUUAGUGAGAAGAAAAUAAGACCAGAAUGUUUUUCAGUUUAAGCAAAAAGAAAAGCUGAACAACUUCAUGGGGGCAUUUGUUCAGUUGCUUUUAAAAAUGUAAAGAAGAUUAAAGAGAAGAGUGAAAAUACUUGAAUCACAUUAGCACUUCAUUUCAUAGCUACCUUGUUCUCUUGUUGAUGAUCCUUCACUAAAAGUAAAACUUUGGGAACUGAUGGAAUUCAGAAAGUAGCAAUGAAAAUCAUUAAUGGGAUGCUAUCAUUUGCUUUACUAGGAAAGUGGUUGUGGCUGACAUAUACAAGGUGCUUUGAAAGGACCCAUUAGCAUUACGGAUGGAAGUGAAAUACUGAUUAACAUGAUCAAGAUUAUUAAAUUGCCAGAUGAAACAAAAGCUAAGAUAUGUCAUAUAUUAGAAGGUACAGUACAGAGGUGAGGAUUUAAUCACAUUUGUUAACUUUUCUCUAAUAGAAUCACUUCAUUACAUAUCUUGAUUUUAAAAGGCAAUGCUUCCAAAAUGGUAGGUAAAAAAUAAAAAAAAAAAAAGAUAGUUUUAAUGCAUUACAUAAGGAGACAUAGGGCAUCAAAGCUAGCAUGAGGCACUUGAGAAAAAAGAUGAGCUGUGUCCUAACAAACUUUUAAAAGCAGACAUUUGAGUUUCAUAAAGCAAAUGGCCAAUGCCAGCAUUUCCUUGCACUUGUCAGUUCUGGCCCUCUGACUGAUACUAAAUGAGUAAUUUCAUACAAUGAGAAAAUCAGAUUCUUUAGUUGCUUUACAUAUUUACCUGUUUGCCUGUGCAGCUGUAGCUACCUUGCCAGUUGGCUGAACAGCAGUUCUAGGUAACACUAAGAGCAGAAACUCUUAAAAUGUGGCAGCAUAUGUGAAAAAGAGCAAAGGACCCAUUUUUUGUAGCUGCACUAUCCAAGUGAGCAUUGUUUCAUAGCUUUAGUGGAUCACCUAGAGACUUCUUCCCUCAUAUUUGAAGACAGGUUACUUUGUGAAAUAUGAUACUAGGGAUUGUGAUGUAUCCAAAAGCAACAUAAAUGCAUUGCAGAUUGGUUUUGCUGUUUCAGAAAGCAUGUUCACAUACACAGUCUUGAAAGAAGGUGGGAGCAAAGCCAACAUAGAAUUAACCACACUGAAUAACUUGCACAUUUUCCAUGAAGUCUUUCAUGUAUUCUCUGCUUUUCAAAAGUGAACAAGGGCCAAAACCAGCCACAUCACUUGGAUUUGCUAUAAUGAACUCCUGCUUCUCUGCAGUCUGAAUCUAAGCCACUAUCCUACACUUACCACAUCAUAAGAAACCACUAACCCUAACCAUGAGACCAGUACAUUCAUGUCUCUACAAUAUGUUCGUUACACUCACAUUAAUAAAGGAAUAUAAUGUUACAAUGCCUGUGCCAUUAAACAACACCUGUUCCAUACAAUGGAAACAAGGCACUCCAUCAUUAAAUAUAUUAUCUUCUUAACAAAGAACUGCACAACUGUUUGGCUAGAGCUGUGAAGCAAAUGGUCUAUUUACAUAUGAAAAGAAAUUUGUGUACAUUUGAUGAAUGACAGAAUAAUUGCUAUAUAUGGUAAGGGAAAUGAAAGUAAAAUAUUUCGUAUAUUCAUUACUGCUAUUGCCAGUAAGUUGGAAAGGCCUUGAUAUAGCUGUGAAUGUACCUUUCUUGACCACUUCAGCUAGGCAAAGCUUACACAGGCUGCUGGCAGCAUCACAAGAGUAAGCUUUAAUUCUAGGAAUCUUAGUGGAAAAGGUCUGGUACAAUGUGUUCAAAUCAUCCCCUAGAAACACACAUAAAAUGGGUUUUGUCUACUUGAUUUCACAGUUCUGAGAUGUGGGUCCUCCACCAUUGCACUUAGAAGCCUGGUCUGGCUUUAAACAAAUUCCUGAGUGUGAUAUUUUUUUUCCUUUUUAUUUAGUGGACAUUCUUAUUUCUUCUUGUUGUUCAUGUUAUUCUCAUCAUACCUUUAAAACCACCCACAAUUAUGGGUCUUGGCCCUAGAUAAGCAACCCCAGCCCGAACCUCUGUGGAAACAGUGAGGGGAAGGUUAAAGGGGUAGAACACCCCAAAGUGGGUUCUAUACCUUUUGCAGCAAGCUGCAGGAUAGAAAGAGAUGUAAUCAAAGGUUUUGGACAAGGGAAAAUGAUAAUUUUCUACUUCAGUCACCUCUUCUACACACACAUGCGUGCAUAUACACAAAAGGGAGGAGACUUUUCUUUGCAAAUUUCACUUGAAAUUGCUGCUGUCAGCCGUUAUCUGGAGCUAAACACUAGACACAGAGUAAAUGUGCUACCCUUGCUGCAAUCCAAAUCUUACUGACCUGGUAGGAGGGGAAGAUGGCAGCUUUGGUGCAAUGCAGUCAGUGAAAAGGUGAGAAGUAGCAGGUGAAGAGAAGGACCUAGAUGGCUGGGGAAGAACAGUAGGUUCUUGAUUUAGGAAUAUCCAUGUUUAGAGGUGUUGAUCUGAUAUGCAGAAAUACCAAACCCUCACAGCAGAAACUGAUGGCAGUGAGAAUCAUGUUCGGCAAAUAUAGAGUGCUCUUGAGUACUGAGAAUUGGAGCUGGCAACUCAAACUGGCCACACAAAUUAGCUUACUGUAUAGACAAAUUUAACUUUUUUUCUCACUGAAACUCAUCUCUUUGUGCAUCUAAAAAUACUAGUAAUGAUAUCACACUUUUAGUAAAUGUAUUCAGGUUUAUUUAAAGGGAAAAUAAAAAGCUAAACAGGAAACAAUGUGAACAUAUUAUAAUGUAGAAGCCAGAUAAAAGCCUGAGAAAAAGAAAAUUUCUCUUUUGCUUGUAGGGUUUGAAAAGCAUGCAGCAAAUGACACCUGAGAUCUCAUGCUGAAUGAGUAGGAUAAACAUAAUUAUUGAGUAACUGCCCAUUCGCUGAAAGAAGGCAAGGUUCUAGCAGAAUAUCUGACCGUGUUUUACAUUAUUUACUUGUCUAUAGGUAUGAAGUGCGUAACUAAACUUGGCCACGGGAACUGAGCUCAGGGAGCAUGAUGGGGGGGCUCAAUUAAGAGGCAGAGAAAAACCUUAAUCCUAUUGCUUAAUUUACCCAGGUUCAAGGGCUUGAUUUUGUGAGUCUAAUUAUUCUUUUCACAGUUUUCUUCUCCAGUGCAGUUCAUGGGUAUGGAAAACAACAUGAGCACUUUCUGAAAGACAGCUGGCACAGCUGGUUCCUCAGCACACAUGACCACAAACCAAACCUCAUACUGUCAGCUUAAUCUUUGCUUUGGCUUGUUUAGAUUAGUGACCCAUCAAAAUGUGUCAGUGUAUACCAACCUUUUCUUCCAUAAACAUUUUUUCCCUCUUGUAGCUGAUUUUUAUAUGCACAGCAUUCUGCAAGCUGCAUAAAUAUCCAGCUCCUUGUGGUUCAUAAGCAUACCCAGGAAAUAGUGAUUGCCUGGUAAAGCAUUUUAGGCUGGCAACUUGGGAUCUCUGUAAUGAGAUCUUGCACAAUGUUUGUUCACUCUUAGAAGAUCAGAACGUUCCUUGCCAAACCCUCAACCUUUAAGAGGAAAUAGGACAUAUUGCCCUUCCAAGAAGACACAGAUAGGAUGGCACAACUCUUCUGACACAGGCAGAAACAAAGAGACCUAAAAGAAGAAGGUAGUCUCAUCAAAGAAGAUGUGUAACCACGAUUUUCCUCUUCUUACUGACUCUUGGCAGCAGGUUUCUGCAUUUGUGUUUUGGAACAUAAUGCAUAGCAACCAUGUGUGGGCAAGCAAGAAGAGCUACAACUAUUAGAGCUUUCAUACCUGGUGAAUAGAACUACAGCUCAUAAUAAUGUGAUUUGAUCUGUUUUCAAUUCCUCACAUUAUUUUUAACAAAGUACAGUUUCUCACAAUCACAAUGACAAAUCUGAUAUUAAAAACACAGCAUUUUAUCAAAACUAGGAACUGUAGUAUACCAAACAAAUGCCCUAAAUAUGAGAAACUGCUGCACUGACUUCUUUUUUGUACUUUUUUUCUGGUGUUUUAUUUCUAUCUCCAUUUAUCUUUUCAAGGAUGUUGACAGUUGAUAAAGCUGGCAACAGCACAAAAGAGAAGGGCAGCUAUUCUUGCUUCUUAGAUUAUCCCUAAAUUCUGAUCAUCACAUUAUUUGUUGAAGCAAGUAACCCUAGGAAAAGAAACAGGUAAAAGAAAGAUUUUUUUGAAACUAUAAUAGAAACAGUACUUUUUUAAACUGUCAAAUGAUAAAUUGUCCCAUUGGAUUUUUCAAGAGUUCCUCAUGUCCAUUUUGGAACAAUCAAGUUUUAGUAUAUGGUCAUGGGUUAAAUAAUGUUACAUUGUGUUGAGAUUCAUAUAAGAUUCAGUAUACUAUGUAAACUAAACUUCCACUGUCAUUUAUGCAUGUUUGUCACUGUCAAGAAUAAAAAUAUUUUGAAAGAUUCA